CUCAGUCCCAGCUCACAGCCCUUCGCUCCUCACUGAUGAUCACCAGAAUAGGGCUGUAAUACCAAAUCCACCUGUUGAGAUCAAGCCUGGAGAAUAACGUCACUUUGGAGAGGAGCCCUAAAUGAAUGCAUGCCCUCAUCAAACUCAUGAGGAUUUGAUGACCUGUUUGGUGAUGAGUGUCCUGAACAGAAGCAAUGAAAAAAAGGUGGCUAAUUUUUGGAAACUAUUCCAGCACUGGAGACCCGCAGGGAGGACAGAGGGGAACACAGUAGCCAGCUUCAAACAUGUAAAGGAAGAAAAAGCAUCAGCUGCAUCAAGGAAGAUUUAGGUUUCAGGCAAGCUUUCUAGCAGUAAAAUGGGGAAGCCCUGGAACAGAUUGCCAUGAAGAACAAAGGGGUUCUGAAAUCUGCCAUACAAGACAGCUCUCUGCACACAGAGCUGUUAGCAAUUCAACAUAAAUGUAUUGACAUAGCCCAGCGUAGACACAAGCACUGACAUUUCUUCAGGAAGAUAGGAGUAAGUAACUCAUGUUUGGAAAAAUCAUUUUUGUUCACCAAAAUAGCAGCAGACAGCAGUGUAAGUUACCCAUCUAAAAAAAAAAAAAAAAAAGAAAACACCAAACAUUUUCCCAUUGUGACUGCAGUCCUUAAACUCCGUGGGGAAAAGCAAAUUACUAACUGAGGCAUUUUUGAGAUGUACUGAGACAAGCUGUGGGAGGCAGGGGGAGAAAUCUGUCUUAUCUGAAGUAUGAAUUUUGGCUUGACCACUGUUUCCCAAAUUGAGGUAUGUGAAAUGAUGUUCCAUUAAUUCACUUAACAUCCAUUUCCAGGGUUCACACAGGAGUCAGUUGUGUUUGGAAAGCUCUGAGCAGUUAGUGCUUUUGGUGGUGUCUGCUGCAAGGUUAAACAGCAGUGCAUGGGAACACCUUUGGAAAAGCAUCUGCUGAGUUCAAAACUCUGGAAGGUGAAUCCAUUGGUCUUUCCAAAGAACAGCCUGUAUUUUGCUAUAGAAAAUCUUCUGUCAAAUAUUUUUUUCCCUCUUUCCUAAAGGAUGGGAUAGUUGCAUUUAUCUGCUCACCCACAGGCAUCUCUUAGUGUUUGAUAGCACGUGCUACCUGAGUUUAGAGUGUCUGAAUUUGCCAAAAAAGCUUUGGUAAUGCUUCAUGAAGAAUUGCCAUAAAGAAGUCUCCCAAUCACAGUUUCUGCAUGUGGAUUUAUCUGUAGUAGCAUCUGCAACCAAAUCACACACCUGGCUGUGGUACAGACCAUGCAGACAUUUCAUCUAAUUAGGUAAACAAUACUUUAGGUUCAUCUUACAUGUUGCGCUUUACACUGCUAAAAUCAGAAAUAGCCAUUUCCUUUUCCAUUAUUUAUUUAGCUAUAUAUAUAUCAUUAAAAAGAAGUGUUUACAUUUCAGAUCCAGACAAUGGUAGAUGUUUGCAUUCAUUCACUUCCUGAUAGUGAGAUAAACAGGAAAAAAGAAACUCAAAAUCAACUUUCAGAUAAGCAACUCAGAUUACUAAAAGUGAUUUUGCGGAGUCCGAACGCAGAACUUAAGUAACCUAAUUGCACCUCUUCAACAUUUUAUUGUAAAAAUCACUUGAAAAAGCAUCAUCUCUGAUUCUUGCAGGUAAAUGUGUGUCUGUAAAACUGCCAGACCUCUUUUUAAUAUAAACUAGUUCAUCAUAAUGCUCGCUGUUUUGCACCAGACAUCAGGUGGGAAAUGAGAAAACAUCCUCGCCAUAUUUGCAACUACACCUCUUUAGCAAAGCAAGGAAAAGCCUCAGGCUAAGCUAAUACUGAAAUGCAACGGAUAGGAUAUACCAUAUUCUCAGCCCAGUAAAGUGAUAUGGCUAAACCAAGACUGUAGCGAUUCAGAAUCAAGUAACUGCGUAACAUGAACUCCAAGGGAACAUUACAUCUCUAGUAGCCCAGAAAACAACCAUGCCUUGUCUAAUGCUUUAGUAUAUCACACAGUUCCAAAACAUUUGACACAAACCUUUGGGAAAUGAGCCACAAACAAAAGCUUCCUUGAGUUCAGUAUUGCAUGAUUUUCUCAGCCGUGUUUAGAAGCUUCACAAAAAGUUCCCAAAACUCUCAAAAUUUUUCAUAAACCAAGUAGAAGCUUGCCACUCAGUGUCUUCAGGAAAAAAAAAAAAUCAUAGCAUGCUAAUUACAGCAUUUUUUUUUUCCUAGUUUGCUCAGCUUUUUAGAUAGAAGUACUGGAGACUGAACUUUUUGGCUCAGACCCAGCAUAGUAUUUCAAGUUUACAGUGCUUAAGUCUUAUCAAGGUAACUCCUGCAUUGCAUGGUAAGUAUGCCUCACGAUAUUAGAAAAGUUUAUUUCUAAGUAAAGGUUAUUUCUUAACAGAAAAAAAAGAGUUUGGUAUUUUGUUUAUCGCACAUGAGUUCCCAAUGCUAAAAAUGCACGUAUUUUCUGGAAGGCAGUCACGCAAAGCUAGCUGAAGGAUAAAAGUGAACUUGAAUAGUCGAUAUGCUUUGGAAUGCUCCAAAGCCUAAGGUCUUGAAGGAAAUCUUUGGUCUAGAAUGUAGGGAAAGUUCCUACAGGUUUUCUUUUCAUAAGAAGUAAAGCCUUGCCACAACAGAGCCUCCAGACAUGCAUGACAUAUAUUUCAGAAUUGUAUUAGUAGGAAAAUUAACUCUCCCAUAAGCCACAAAUAUUUGUAACAACUAACACCCCCGCCAACCCCCCGGCUUCAUUUGCACUACACAUUGCAAAUGAAAGCCCUGCACCAUGGUGAACACACUGAUGAAAAUAAAAAGGCAGCAAUUGAUAUGGGGCUGGGGCACAUGAUACUGGAACUAAAAAUUUGUCUCCAGAGGCUUGUCUUUGAAAGAGGAUAGUCCACUCAAUAAAGCAACUCUUUCUUAUCCUUUUCCCAGCUGGGUUUCUGCCCUUUAAAAGCAAUUCUGUCCAAUAACUGCUCAAAUGUAUUGAAACUGCAGAAAGCCUUCCAAGACUCAUGGAUUCUCACAGCAUUUUUUCCCCCCAUGCCCCCCCCCCCCCCCAAAAAAAAACAACCACAAACAAAAAACAUCAUAACAAUGUAACUAGCCAUGAAAGUAAAUGUAGUAACAGCCCCUCCCCGUAACUGAAAAGAAACCGCCUGGAUAAAACUGCAAGAUGUGAACAAUACUAGCGCUACUUGUAAAAACUUGCAUGCUGAUGCAUCUCCUCACAAAACGGGGAGAAUUUUCUCACUGAAAUUAUUUAGAAAAAAAAGUGGUCCUUUGCAGGGUUCAUUUCUACAUUUCUGCCUUUCAAAAUGGCACCAAAACAUUUUUUUUUUUUUGCAAAAAGAUGCUACCAAAGAACGCAAGCUGUAAAUGCGCUGCUUCAAAAUUUUGAAGAAGGGCUUUAUUGCAACAAAAUUUUAACAAUAGCAGUGGCUUUUAUGACUUCAGUGUUAACCCUGUUAAGAGAUAUUUGGUUUAGACUGCUGGUUCAGGAGAAGUGCCAACAGCCAUUGCAGGUCUGCCACUACCACAGUGCAUUCAGCUAGGAAAGACUGAAGGGAUCCAGAGGAUGGAAUCCUUGUCCAAUCCACAGUUCCAACUGACUUUUAAUUAAAGCACAUACUUAAGAACUAAUCAAUUAAACUACAAGCUUAAGAAUUAAUUCAAUAUAAGGGGACCCUUCAAUUAACUCUAGCUCCAACUACUCAGUUUACUUGCCCACAGACUGCAGAAGUGGCUUUUUUUUUUUCUCCUGAGCUCAUACGUUUCUGACACAUUUCAGGAGUAAUUGCUGAUGCAGUCACACUUAUGCAACUCUGCUGUCUUCAGUAAAGCUGCCUACAUAUCCUUCAUCAGGCAAACUGGCUGGAUGCUAUUGAUGCUGAAGCCAGAGCAAAACAUAACCCUCGUUUGAGUUACCUGUGCAGUGAUGAUGGUGAUAAGAAAUGCAAAUCUUCACAAAAGCUAGUAGAUGCCCCUUGAUAAAAAUAUUUUAAAACAUGUUACCAAUUUUACCCAGUUUUAUAACACCAAAAGCAUAAUAUUAACGGUGUAUAUAUAUAUAUAUAUAUUUAAUAUCUGAAACUUGUGAAAAGUACUCCUACACUAUUGUACAGAAAGUAAUGUGUGCCCUUUACACACUUUGGAAUGUAAAUCUGGAGAGGAAUUAACAGAUAACUUGUUUCAAAAUGUUCAGCCAUCAGAAAGGAGCAUAAUAUAAUAUUUAUUUGCAGUCUCCAUUACAUCCAAUCCAGUGUUUACGCACUUCUCACACAGAAAGUACCAGAAGUGCUUUCCGUAUGUACUCUGCCACAAUAUAUAAGAUUUUAAAUUGUAUUUAUCUAAAGCAUUUGAUCAAUACUGGCUAUCACUACACAACUAUUUGCUCAAUUCUCUGGCCCCAGAAAUAGGAGAAGCACUGAAUGGCCAGCUGUGGAGUCAUCAAAAGCUUCAAUUCAAGAACCAGAAAAUCCUAAGAAACAACCAUGGAAAGAGGAGUGUUGUCUGUAGCAUCUUUAUUUCUUCCAUAAAAGAGGAAGGACUACAUCAUCUAAGCAGAGAACUUCCAAAUUCUAUUAAGCAAGAUGGUUCACACCAUAUCCACAUUUUUUUGGGGGUGGGCAAAUAAAUGGCCUUACCCCAAGCAGCAACCGUAGAGACAAGCUGUUCAAAACCGGUCACAUUUUGCACUCCUUCAGAAACCAAAAGAAAGGGGGAAAGCAAAGUAAAAUCCCAACUUACUCAUGUGCUACGGUGGAAGUACAAAAAUGUCAAUUAUUUAAACACAGUACUUCUCCAGAGGAACGUGCUUGCAGAAAGAAAAGCAAUGCCUGUGCAGUAAGUAUCUUUUCAAUGUCACUUUAAAAGCUAUACAAUCCUAUCUGGGUAUGCAAAAGCUAAUAAUGCCAGAGGAUAGAGAAAGCAGGUAGGCAGCCCACCGUUCUGUGGUAUUAAAAAGUGAUUAAAUGAAAUUCACAAACCAUUUAGUGACAUUUCUGAUAGACUAAUCACAUAGCAGUGCUCUAAAUAGAGAAACAGACCCAUUAUCAAAAUAUUCCCUUUAAAAAACUUGUAUCUCAGAGGAGUACUUAAUGUAUUUAUUGUGUGGAGAUAAUGGCUUCUCACUUUAGAUUUACAAGAACAUGGAUGAACAGAGGGCUUCUCCCAUCCAUAUGCACAAGCAAGAACGAGUACAAACCCCAUUUUUUGCUUUAAGUCUCCAUGUUUUGGAACAAAGGAAAACUAACUGUUGAUACAGUUUAUGAGCCCAUCUCAAAAUCAGCCUGUACUUUAAAAAAAGAAUUAUCUUCUGUUAAAUGGCAGAGUGUUCAGCUACAGACACCAACCAUUCACUUGAAGCAAAACUUAAUUAUUUUCUGAGAGAUUGGUUAAAAUUGGCCAAGAAAAUCAGUGCUGAAAGCUCAAAUAUGUUACCGAAGCUAUAUACAGCAGGAUGCAUCGCUUCUCAGUAUUAACUGUAAGUUCAGUUUCCCCACUCUUCAACCCACCCCUGCAGAAGCAGGGUUGUUUCUCAUUGUGGCUACUGCAUUAUCAAUACUUUUUAUGGAGACAAUACAGUACUAAUCAAUACAACCACUUUGCUCAUUUUUUAAAUUCAGGAAGUUGCCUUCUCCGUGGCUGGUGCUGUAUUUCAGACAGCCACACUGAUAAAAACAUCCUGAUAUGACAGAUGCCCCCUCCUGCCCCUCCCCCC
This is a long non-coding RNA of Cygnus olor (mute swan), 5691 nucleotides long. RefSeq lists it as uncharacterized. Lineage: Eukaryota; Metazoa; Chordata; Aves; Anseriformes; Anatidae. The record is from RefSeq and is a predicted model, not a curated record. The transcript has 2 exons.